GGUGAGAGGGAGAACCUGCCGCCGCUCGCCGCCUCUUUGUCUGCUCCGGGACUGGGAACAAAGGGGGGAACUCUGAUGAACUCUCCUCCCCUCGCCCCGGACGCCCGGGUAUCUCCCUCUCACAACUUUGCCGCCACGACUUUCUGCGCUGUCAGGCCACACGAAAGUGUCCGCGCGCCUCUCGGACUGCAACAGGGGAACGUCUCUGAAAAUUGUGACCAAGUGGGAGGAAGGUGUAAUUAUUAUUAUCAGCAUCUAGAAAGCAUCACGCAGUGCAUUGCUCCUUCGGGACCUUCCUAUCAGUGAACGUUAUGGAAGUACCAACACAACGUCAGGCCAAUCCUGGAGGAAAAGUUAUCACACUUCUUUGUUUGGAGUUACUUAAAAGUUAAAAUGUUGGAAUUUCUAGGAUGCCUUCCCUAUGUGGAUUACUGCAACGUGAUCACUGGGAAUUCUCCACCUGAAAGCACUCUCAGGAGCCUACAGAAGCAUUGACACCCAGCAUGUUCAGGUGUGAAUCAUGGUGACACAGUGAAAGGCGGUGAUUUACUGCUUUGGGGGGCAUGCGUAUGUAUGAUUAAGGGAUGUAAGUGCAGGACUCCAAGAUUUACUUCCUUCCUGCUCCAGCGGGGAUCGCCGAGGAGAGUGAGUAAUGGGAUAAUUUAUAACACCGCAGGCCCUUCGUCAAGAGACCUCUAGUCAAAACAGGAAGAUAAAACUCAGAUUUCAACUGGGAGCAUACAACUUUUGAUCCUCUCUGGACACUUCUUAUUUGCAAGCAGUAGAGUCUUCAGAAUUUUUGUUUUACUUUCUCAAGGAGAGUUCCAUUAAAAAGGUACUAUCAUCUGGUGGCAUUAUUCCAUGUUUAUAUUCCAUGGAGAUCUAGAUCUUGAUUUGGAAGUUUAUGACAAAAUGAUCAGCAUCUGACUUGACAUCAAUAUUACCAGUGAAGGUGUCUUUGUUUGUGAACAUAUUGGGCUUGUUGCUCUCUUUGUAAAUCUGUAGUUACUGCUCUGGAAAAGUCUAACUUGAUGUCCUCUCAGAAGUAUUCCCUCUUUUCCAUCAUCAGACCAUCCCGGUGUCCUCCCUGAACAUCCUUCUCAACUGCUCCUGAUGCGUGCAUAGCUGUUCUCUGCUGUCCAUUCCAUCAGAUGGCCUCAAAGCUAACAGACAGAAAAAGAAAAUAGCUAAUGCCUUGCAGGUGUGUGGUGUGUAUGUGUAAGAGAAGCCAGUAAUUACCCCUUGCUGAUGGAGCUGACCAAACACAGUCUUUCCCAUGGCAACUGAAAACAUAAAAAAUAAAAUUUAAAAAAUUGGAGGUUACAUAAUUGCCGUCCCUGGAGGAGGAGGAAUGUGGAGAUCACGGAGUUUCUUGUGGCUUUGGUUGAAGGUGUUGGUGAAGAUACAGAGGUCCUGCUGAGGAGCUGAACAGGAUGCUGUUGCUUGCUUUGAAGUGAGGACAUCGAAGAUUUGUUCAGGACCAGGUAGCUGAUGAGAGAGAGAGAAAGAGAGAGAAGAAAGAGCCCAACUGUCAGCCCAGGUCCUCCUCCUCCUUGCUCAGGAGCCACCACACAUGCAACUCUAUGGGGCCUCACUUUGUUUCUCUCUGGAACUCUCUACUCUCUUUGCAGAUUAUUUGUUAGGACCUCUUACACAAUUUUCUUUUUAAUUUAAGGCCAUGUUGCCGUGAAGCUUUGUCAUGAUGUAUUUAAAUAAAAUAAUCUUUUGUUAUCUAG
Myotis daubentonii (Daubenton's bat) is the source of this 1736-nucleotide long non-coding RNA. RefSeq lists it as uncharacterized. Lineage: Eukaryota; Metazoa; Chordata; Mammalia; Chiroptera; Vespertilionidae. The record is from RefSeq and is a predicted model, not a curated record.